RNAcentral lists this ribosomal RNA (460 nucleotides) under uncultured bacterium. RNAcentral describes it as "partial 16S ribosomal RNA". It matches the Rfam family "Bacterial small subunit ribosomal RNA", at positions 338 to 795 of the family's 1533-position model. The record is from RNAcentral.
CCUACGGGAGGCAGCAGUGAGGAAUAUUGGUCAAUGGACGAGAGUCUGAACCAGCCAAGUAGCGUGAAGGAUGACUGCCCUAUGGGUUGUAAACUUCUUUUAUAUGGGAAUAAAAUGUUCCACGUGUGGGAUUUUGUAUGUACCAUAUGAAUAAGGAUCGGCUAACUCCGUGCCAGCAGCCGCGGUAAUACGGAGGAUCCGAGCGUUAUCCGGAUUUAUUGGGGUUAAAGGGAGCGUAGGUGGAUUGUUAAGUCAGUUGUGAAAGUUUGGGGCUCAACCGUAAAAUUGCAGUUGAAACUGGCAGUCUUGAGUACAGGAGAGGUGGGCGGAAUUCGUGGUGUAGCGGUGAAAUGCUUAGAUAUCACGAAGAACUCCGAUUGCGAAGGCAGUUCACUGGACUGCAACUGACACUGAGGCUCGAAAGUGUGGGUAUCAAACAGGAUUAGAUACCCUUGUAGUC